This 907-nucleotide long non-coding RNA is filed under the name Nicotiana tabacum (common tobacco). Its description in RNAcentral is "long non-coding RNA (NTAB_LNC006463)". The record is from RNAcentral. Lineage: Eukaryota; Viridiplantae; Streptophyta; Magnoliopsida; Solanales; Solanaceae.
GGAGAACUAGAUUUAUUAUUAAAGCAUAAUAGUACAAGCAGUUUGAGGGGGCAUAUGCAUCAUUCUACGGGGUGACCUCUUGAUGGGUCGUAACAAAAAGGGGUGUGCAGGGAGAAAUUACUACUUCUGCUACUACUAUUACUACUACUAGGGCCUAUAUUAUGAGUAGUACAUAAAGGAUGUUCAAGCGGUGGUUGCAAACGGUUUGAAGGUGGAAGAGAUGGUAGAGCCAGUCUUCUAACAAAAAGCUUUCCCGUGCGAUCGUUCUCCAGUGCUGCUCGAACAAAAGAUGGUGGUUAUAUAUAUAUACAGUGACUCCUGCGGUACUCUCCAUUUGGCUACCAGACUUUGCAAGUAAGUCAGCGACUUUGUUUUGUUCCCUGUAGGUGUGAAGUAGAGCUGGAUCAUCCAAGUGUGUGAGUAGGAACCUACAAUCAUUGAUAAUGUUAGUAUUGGCGGAUGUGAAAUUUGUAGAAUAUUAAUGAUUGCUUGGGCAUCUAAGUUCACUUCUAAUGGCUUAUAACCAUGUGUAAAAGCUAAUUGCAAGCCAUAAUAAAGUGCGAAUUCUGAUUCCACACUCCCAUGAGAGAUAUGGUAACCAGCAAAUCCCACAACCCACGAACCCGAGGAGUCACGAAUUACACUGCUAAUUUCGCCUCGUCCUGUUGGUAAUUGAGCGGAACCAUCAGUGUUUAAUUUAAAAAGGGUGGAGCUAGGGGGAUGUCAUUUGAUGUAAAGAGGGAUAUGACCGUGAGGGGAUGGUGGUGGAGCAGAAAUAAAAUAGUAUUCUGUAGCCCUUUUUAAAAUAUGUGAUGAGGAGGGGGGUGUAGUGUGGGUGCGGGAUACUUUUUCAUUUCGAGAUAACCAAAUAUGCCAUAAGCAGAAAGGUAUCAGGAUGGGAUUGGGG